Molecule: ribosomal RNA, 1543 nt
Filed under: Claussenomyces sp. HB9300b
Lineage: Eukaryota; Fungi; Ascomycota; Leotiomycetes; Leotiales; Tympanidaceae
Description: eukaryotic LSU rRNA
Source: RNAcentral
UCGCUACUACCGAUUGAAUGGCUCAGUGAGGCUUUCGGACUGGCUCAGGGAGGUCGGCAACGACCACCCAGAGCCGGAAAGUUGUUCAAACUUGGUCAUUUAGAGGAAGUAAAAGUCGUAACAAGGUUUCCGUAGGUGAACCUGCGGAAGGAUCAUUACAGAGAACAUGCCCCUCGGGGUAGAUCUCCCACCCUUUGUUUACCUUACCAUUGUUGCUUUGGCAGGCCCGCCCCUGGGCCGCCGGCUCCGGCUGGCCAGCGCCUGCCAGAGGACCUAAAACUCUUGUUCUCCAUGCAGUCUGAGUACUAUACAAUAGUUAAAACUUUCAACAACGGAUCUCUUGGUUCUGGCAUCGAUGAAGAACGCAGCGAAAUGCGAUACGUAAUGUGAAUUGCAGAAUUUAGUGAAUCAUCGAAUCUUUGAACGCACAUUGCGCCCCCUGGUAUUCCGGGGGGCAUGCCUGUUCGAGCGUCAUUACAACCCUCAAGCUCUGCUUGGUAUUGGGCCUCGCCGGUUCCGGCGUGCCUUAAAGAUAGUGGCGGUGCCGCCUGGCUCCAAGCGCAGUAAUUCUUCUCGCUCUGGGACCCCGGGUGUGCACCCGCCAGCAACCAAACUUAACAAAGGUUGACCUCGGCUCAGGUAGGGAUACCCGCUGAACUUAAGCAUAUCAAUAAGCGGAGGAAAAGAAACCAACAGGGAUUGCCUCAGUAACGGCGAGUGAAGCGGCAACAGCUCAAAUUUGAAAUCUGGCCUCACGGCCCGAGUUGUAAUUUGUAGAGGAUGCUUCGGGUGUGGCUCCGGUCUAAGUUCCUUGGAACAGGACGUCAUAGAGGGUGAGAAUCCCGUAUGCGACUGGUUGCCUAUGCUCAUGUGAAGCUCCUUCGACGAGUCGAGUUGUUUGGGAAUGCAGCUCAAAAUGGGUGGUAAAUUUCAUCUAAAGCUAAAUAUUGGCCAGAGACCGAUAGCGCACAAGUAGAGUGAUCGAAAGAUGAAAAGCACUUUGGAAAGAGAGUUAAACAGUACGUGAAAUUGUUGAAAGGGAAGCGCUUGCAACCAGACUUGCGUGCGGCUGAUCAUCUGGUGUUCUCACCGGUGCACUCAGCCGUACUCAGGCCAGCAUCGGUUUCGGCGGCCGGAUAAAGGCCCUGGGAAUGUGGCUCCUCUCGGGGAGUGUUAUAGCCCAGGGUGCAAUGCGGCCAGCCGGGACCGAGGACCGCGCUUCGGCUAGGAUGCUGGCGUAAUGGUUGUAAGCGACCCGUCUUGAAACACGGACCAAGGAGUYUAACAUCUAUGCGAGUGUUUGGGUGUCAAACCCAUACGCGUAAUGAAAGUGAACGGAGGUGAGAACCCUUAAGGGUGCAUCAUCGACCGAUCCUGAAGUCUUCGGAUGGAUUUGAGUAAGAGCAUAGCUGUUGGGACCCGAAAGAUGGUGAACUAUGCCUGAAUAGGGUGAAGCCAGAGGAAACUCUGGUGGAGGCUCGCAGCGGUUCUGACGUGCAAAUCGAUCGUCAAAUUUGGGUAUAGGGGCGAAAGACUAAUCGAA